GUAGGUGGCAAGCGUUGUCCGGAAUUAUUGGGUGUAAAGCGCGCGCAGGUGGGUUCUUUAAGUCUGAUGUGAAAGCCCCCGGGCUCAACCGGGGAGGGUCAUUGGAAACUGGGGAACUUGAGUGCAGGAGAGGAAAGUGGAAUUCCACGUGUAGCGGUGAAAUGCGUAGAUAUGUGGAGGAACACCAGUGGCGAAGGCGACUUUCUGGCCUGUAACUGACACUGAGGCGCGAAAGCGUGGGGAGCAAACAGGAUUAGAUACCCUGGUAGUCCACGCCGUAAACGAUGAGUGCUAAGUGUUGGGGGGUUUCCGCCCCUCAGUGCUGCAGCUAACGCAUUAAGCACUCCGCCUGGGGAGUACGGUCGCAAGACUG
This 373-nucleotide ribosomal RNA is filed under the name uncultured organism. RNAcentral's name for it is "partial 16S ribosomal RNA". It matches the Rfam family "Bacterial small subunit ribosomal RNA", at positions 527 to 896 of the family's 1533-position model. The record is from RNAcentral.